AACUCUCUGAAAUUUGCAAGAGUUUA
RNAcentral lists this non-coding RNA (26 nucleotides) under Rattus norvegicus (Norway rat). Lineage: Eukaryota; Metazoa; Chordata; Mammalia; Rodentia; Muridae. The record is from RNAcentral.